GACGAACGCUGGCGGCGUGCUUAACACAUGCAAGUCGAACGCUGAAGACCUGGCUUUUGUUGGGUUGGAUGAGUGGCGAACGGGUGAGUAACACGUGAGUAACCUGCCCUCUUCUUUGGGAUAACGCCCGGAAACGGGUGCUAAUACUGGAUAUUCACUGAUCUUCGCAUGGGGGUUGGUGGAAAGGUUUGUUCUGGUGGGGGAUGGGCUCGCGGCCUAUCAGCUUGUUGGUGGGGUGAUGGCCUACCAAGGCUUUGACGGGUAGCCGGCCUGAGAGGGUGACCGGUCACAUUGGGACUGAGAUACGGCCCAGACUCCUACGGGAGGCAGCAGUGGGGAAUAUUGCACAAUGGGCGAAAGCCUGAUGCAGCGACGCCGCGUGAGGGAUGGAGGCCUUCGGGUUGUAAACCUCUUUCGCUCAUGGUCAAGCCGCAACUGUGGGUUGUGGUGAGGGUAGUGGGUAAAGAAGCGCUGGCUAACUACGUG
Molecule: ribosomal RNA, 486 nt
Filed under: uncultured bacterium
Lineage: Bacteria
Description: partial 16S ribosomal RNA
Rfam family: Bacterial small subunit ribosomal RNA
Source: RNAcentral